This 343-nucleotide unclassified non-coding RNA is filed under the name soil metagenome. RNAcentral's name for it is "partial contains 5.8S ribosomal RNA, internal transcribed spacer 2, and large subunit ribosomal RNA". The stretch from base 1 to 120 matches the Rfam family "5.8S ribosomal RNA", at positions 35 to 154 of the family's 154-position model. The record is from RNAcentral.
GAUGAAGAACGCAGCGAAAUGCGAUAAGUAAUGUGAAUUGCAGAAUUCAGUGAAUCAUCGAAUCUUUGAACGCACAUUGCGCCCGCUAGUAUUCUGGCGGGCAUGCCUGUCCGAGCGUCAUUUCAUCCCUCAAGCCCCCGGGCUUGGUGUUGGGGAUCGGCGAGCCUCCGCGCCCGCCGUCCCCUAAAUCUAGUGGCGGUCUCGCUGUAGCUUCCUCUGCGUAGUAGCACACCUCGCACUGGGAAACAGCGCGGCCACGCCGUUAAACCCCCAACUUCUGAACGUUUGACCUCGGAUCAGGUAGGAAUACCCGCUGAACUUAAGCAUAUCAAUAAGCGGAGGA